Molecule: ribosomal RNA, 256 nt
Filed under: uncultured bacterium
Lineage: Bacteria
Description: partial 16S ribosomal RNA
Rfam family: Bacterial small subunit ribosomal RNA
Source: RNAcentral
GACGAACUGUCCUAACGUUGUUCGGAAUCACUGGGCUUAAAGGGCGCGUAGGCGGUCCGACAAGUCAGGGGUGAAAUCCUGCAGCUUAACUGCAGAAGUGCCUUUGAUACUGUCGGUCUCGAGGGAGAUAGGGGUGUGCGGAAACUUUCCCGUAGUAGGACGGUCGGUAAAGUAAAGUCGGUACGGUUAGGAAUUACGGUUAAGGGGAAAACGGGUAACCGAACCGGUAGGGGCCGGAAAAAGGGCCGGACGGCCC